CAGCCGCCGCGGUAAUACGUAGGUGGCAAGCGCUGUCCGGAAUUAUUGGGCGUAAAGGGCUCGCAGGCGGUUUCUUAAGUCUGAUGUGAAAGCCCCCGGCUCAACCGGGGAGGGUCAUUGGAAACUGGUUGACUUGAGUGCAGAAGAGGAGAGUGGAAUUCCAUGUGUAGCGGUGAAAUGCGUAGAUAUAUGGAGGAACACCAGUGGCGAAGGCGACUCUCUGGUCUGUAACUGACGCUGAGGCUCGAAAGCGUGGGUAGCAAACAGGAUUAGAUACCCCUGUAGUCCCUGUCUCUUAUAC
RNAcentral lists this ribosomal RNA (301 nucleotides) under uncultured bacterium. RNAcentral describes it as "partial 16S ribosomal RNA". It matches the Rfam family "Bacterial small subunit ribosomal RNA", at positions 509 to 807 of the family's 1533-position model. The record is from RNAcentral.